CGCCCUUACGGGAGGCAGCAGCAAGGAAUUUUCGGCAAUGGGCGCAAGCUGACCGAGCAACGCCGCGUGCGGGAUGACGGCCUUCGGGUUGUAAACCGCUUUUCGGGGGGACGACCCUGACGGUACCCCCGGAAUCAGCCCCGGCUAACUCUGUGCCAGCAGCCGCGGUAAGACAGAGGGGGCGAGCGUUGUCCGGAGUCACUGGGCGUAAAGCGCGCGCAGGCGGCAACCUAAGUGUCGUGUGAAAGCCCCCGGCUCAACCGGGGGAGGCCAUGGCAAACUGGGUCGCUCGAGCUGCGGAGAGGCCCCUCGAAUUGCCGGUGUAGCGGUGAAAUGCGUAGAGAUCCGCAGGAAGACCAAGGGGGAAGCCAGGGGGCUGGCCGCAGGUGAACGCUGAGGCGGGACAGGUGGGGGAGCAAAC
RNAcentral lists this ribosomal RNA (421 nucleotides) under uncultured bacterium. RNAcentral's name for it is "partial 16S ribosomal RNA". It matches the Rfam family "Bacterial small subunit ribosomal RNA", at positions 334 to 773 of the family's 1533-position model. The record is from RNAcentral.